This 457-nucleotide ribosomal RNA is filed under the name uncultured Pseudomonas sp. Its description in RNAcentral is "bacterial SSU rRNA". It matches the Rfam family "Bacterial small subunit ribosomal RNA", at positions 925 to 1382 of the family's 1533-position model. Lineage: Bacteria; Pseudomonadati; Pseudomonadota; Gammaproteobacteria; Pseudomonadales; Pseudomonadaceae. The record is from RNAcentral.
ACAAGCGGUGGAGCAUGUGGUUAAUUCGAAGCAACGCGAAGAACCUUACCAGGCCUUGACAUGCAGAGAACUUUCCAGAGAUGGAUUGGUGCCUUCGGGAACUCUGACACAGGUGCUGCAUGGCUGUCGUCAGCUCGUGUCGUGAGAUGUUGGGUUAAGUCCCGUAACGAGCGCAACCCUUGUCCUUAGUUACCAGCACGUUAUGGUGGGCACUCUAAGGAGACUGCCGGUGACAAACCGGAGGAAGGUGGGGAUGACGCCAAGUCAUCAUGGCCCUUACGGCCUGGGCUACACACGUGCUACAAUGGUCGGUACAAAGGGUUGCCAAGCCGCGAGGUGGAGCUAAUCCCAUAAAACCGAUCGUAGUCCGGAUCGCAGUCUGCAACUCGACUGCGUGAAGUCGGAAUCGCUAGUAAUCGUGAAUCAGAAUGUCACGGUGAAUACGUUCCCGGGCCUU